Molecule: transfer RNA, 85 nt
Filed under: Caudoviricetes sp.
Lineage: Duplodnaviria; Heunggongvirae; Uroviricota; Caudoviricetes
Description: tRNA-Ser
Rfam family: tRNA
About the family: Transfer RNA (tRNA) molecules are approximately 80 nucleotides in length. Their secondary structure includes four short double-helical elements and three loops (D, anti-codon, and T loops). Further hydrogen bonds mediate the characteristic L-shaped molecular structure. tRNAs have two regions of fundamental functional importance: the anti-codon, which is responsible for specific mRNA codon recognition, and the 3' end, to which the tRNAs corresponding amino acid is attached (by aminoacyl-tRNA synthetases). tRNAs cope with the degeneracy of the genetic code in two manners: having more than one tRNA (with a specific anti-codon) for a particular amino acid; and 'wobble' base-pairing, i.e. permitting non-standard base-pairing at the 3rd anti-codon position.
Source: RNAcentral
AGACAUGUGUCCGGCUGGUCGAGGAAGCAGUCUUGAAAACUGUUGGCUGUAACAGGUUCGGGGGUUCGAGUCCCUCACAUGUCGU